AGCUUUGCGCAGUGGCGAUAUUGUAACCAAUGAUGCACACUCGAGGUGCGAUUAUUGCUAGUUGAAAAAAAAAAAUACAUUAUUUCAAUAUAUCCACAAACAAUAGUUCAAUAUUCCUUGCAGGUAAAAUGAUAC
Molecule: small nuclear RNA, 135 nt
Organism: Toxorhynchites rutilus septentrionalis
Lineage: Eukaryota; Metazoa; Arthropoda; Insecta; Diptera; Culicidae
Product: U4 spliceosomal RNA
Exons: 1
Source: RefSeq, a predicted model, not a curated record